GCUUGGAGGACAAGUGGAAAUAGAACAGAACUUUCUUAACAACAAGUUAAAGACCAUCACUGCAUACUUUGGUGACCUGAUCAGAAGACCAGCACUUCUGAAGACCAGCACUUCUGAAGCGGAAGUGUGAUACUGUAAAGCACAGAGAGAUCAUGUGGAGUGAGGAUGUAUGACAUUCAAGUGAGAGACAGGAGGAAGGCCUUCCUAGGUUCUUUAAUACUGUGUGCACAUGUGAUGUGGAAAACUCCGAGUUUUAAAGGAUGCUAAUGAAGUGGUUUGAGAUCUUUAGGUAAUGGUAAUGGAUCUGUGUUGUACACUUUAAAACAGCAUCAGGGCAAGGUGAUAGUGGUGCCUGCAAUCCCAGCACUUCAGAAAGAUCAUGAGUUCAAGCUCAUGCUGUGCUUCCUAACAAAUCAAGGCUGGCCUGAGCUACAUGAGAUCUUGCCACAAAAAAGAAAAAAAUCAUAAAAAGUCUAGGCAUAUCCCUGUGCUUAAAUUAAGUACAUCUGUAUAUGUAUUUGUUUUCAUUCUUUAACUGUUUUAGCUUAACAUCUUUGUGUCUGUGUAAGUAAUUAUUAGUUUUUUAAAAUAUAAAGAAAAACAAAGCAAUUCUACCUACACGUGUAAUCCCUAUUGAAAUAAUGUUACCAAUUUAAUGCUAACACAGAAAAAGUAAAACUCCCACCACCUAACCUACCUUCUUUUCAGCUAUCUAAAGCUAAUCACAGUUAGCAGGACUUUGCUUUUUAACUUUUUUAUUACAUUUUUAUUUUGUCUAUAUGUGCAUGCAUGCGUGUGUGUAGAGGUCAGAGGACAACUUGCUAGAGUCCAUUCUCUACUUACACCAUGUGGGUUCCUGGGAAUCAAGUUAAAGUCAUUAGACUUUAUAACCAGAGCCUUUACCUACUGAGCCAACCCAUUGGUCCCCUCUUAAUUCUUCUGAAGAAAAGAUCGCAGUAUAACAGUGUACCCCGGUGCACUUCUCCAUUGAUGCACUCACUGUGCGUUCAUUGCCUUCCCUUUGUGGAUACUUAAUGUAUAGUAUAUGAAAUAAUUGCUUUUGUGAGAGAGAGAAUGUGUUUGUGCGCAAGAGAGAUGUGCGUGUGUGCAUGUGUGUGCGCCUACUUUGACCCAAGUCCAGGGAAGAGUGUUGGAUUCCUUAUAGCUGGAGUUACAGAUGGUUAUGAGCUGUCAAAUGUGGGUACUGGGAAAUGCACUUGGGUCCUCUGGAAGUGGAAGUAAGUUCUCUCUCCAGCCCAAGAUGGGCUUUUUAAUCAGUGUUUUUGCUUUUCUGUUUUGGUAUGGUUUUGUUGUUAUUGUUUUGUUUUGUCUUGUUUUGUUUUUUUGUAUACCCAGGCUGGCCUCAUACUUUGUGUGUAACUCAGAGUGACUUUGAGCUCCUAACCCUUCUGGCUCCACCUACUGCACCUGGCUUAUCAGAGUAUCUUGAAAGCCAUUCUAUUUCAGUUCAUACAUGUCAAUCUACCUCGUGUUUUAAAUGGCUAUUUUGUAUUCCAUCAUCUAUAUAUAUAAACUAGUUCCCUACUGAGAGGCACCCAAGCUGUUUUUAUGGUUUUAUCGUUACCAACUGUUUAUGCACUGUCUUUCCUUACAAUAUUUGCUGUUGAACAAGUAUUUCAGUUGGUAAGUUUCUAGAAGUUACACCACUGGGCUUUUGUACAUUUCAGUCUCGAUAAAAAGACUAAAUUGCUUCAAUAAAAUUGAACUUGCUUUUAGGCUUAUC
RNAcentral lists this long non-coding RNA (1744 nucleotides) under Mus musculus (house mouse). Its description in RNAcentral is "long non-coding RNA chr4:3614875-3616619". The record is from RNAcentral. Lineage: Eukaryota; Metazoa; Chordata; Mammalia; Rodentia; Muridae.